AUCACAGUAAGGAAAGGAGUAGAAACAUCUGAAAUACAAGGCAGGAAGGAGAAGGGAUCUCUUCCUGCAGAUACAGCAUGAGAAGGAGAAAAAAGCUGGAAAUGAUAAAUCAUCCCUGGAAACAUAUAGCUGACUCAUGAGCUGGAAGACAGAAAACAAGAGGGCACCUCUCCUGCACACCAUGGAGAGGAACUGCUGCCAACUGCCAACCAUCAUUCCAGGUUGCCUGCCCUUGGGAAUCUCUUCCUCCUUUCUCUAUCCAAAACCAUUUGCAUUCUUCCUCAAAAUGUUGCUGACACAGUCUCCUGUCCCACCAUCCCCAGCGUGCAAUUCACUGCAUGUUUUUUUGAGAAAUAAAAAUAAUGCAAAUUCAAGAUGUUAAUAAAACUUACGAUCCAGAGACAAUAUUUGCUUUGGAUAUUUUACAGAGAAUUUAAGAAGCUGGGAUCUCCCAGUUUUAGGAGCUAAAG
This 470-nucleotide long non-coding RNA is filed under the name Zonotrichia albicollis (white-throated sparrow). RNAcentral describes it as "lncRNA (ENSZALG00000006465.1)". The record is from RNAcentral. Lineage: Eukaryota; Metazoa; Chordata; Aves; Passeriformes; Passerellidae.